CCCGCUGAACUUAAGCAUAUCAAUAAGCGGAGGAAAAGAAACUAACAAGGAUUCCCCUAGUAACUGCGAGUGAAGCGGGAAAAGCUCAAAUUUAAAAUCUGGCGGUUCUUGUAGCCGUCCGAGUUGUAAUUUAGAGAAGUGUUAUCCGCGCUGGACCGUGUACAAGUCUCCUGGAAUGGAGCGUCAUAGAGGGUGAGAAUCCCGUCUUUGACACGGACUACCAGGGCAUUGUGAUACGCUCUCAAAGAGUCGAGUUGUUUGGGAUUGCAGCUCAAAAUGAGUGGUAAAUUCCAUCUAAAGCUAAAUAUUGGGGAGAGACCGAUAGCGAACAAGUACCGUGAGGGAAAGAUGAAAAGAACUUUGGAAAGAGAGUUAAACAGUACGUGAAAUUGCUGAAAGGGAAACGCUUGAAGUCAGUCGCGUCGUUCAGGAUUCAGCUUUAGCAUCUGCUUUGUGCAUUUCCUGUUUGACGGGUCAGCAUCAGUUUUGGCCGGUGGAUAAAGGUUCAGAGAAUGUGGCAUCCUCGGAUGUGUUAUAGCUCUGGGUCGCAUACAUCGGCUGGGACUGAGGAACUCAGCACGCCGCAAGGCCAGGUUUCGACCAUGUUCGUGCUUAGGAUGCUGGCAUAAUGGCUUUAAUCGACCCGUCUUGAAACACGG
This 659-nucleotide ribosomal RNA is filed under the name uncultured fungus. Its description in RNAcentral is "eukaryotic LSU rRNA". It matches the Rfam family "Eukaryotic large subunit ribosomal RNA", at positions 24 to 664 of the family's 3401-position model. Lineage: Eukaryota; Fungi. The record is from RNAcentral.